GGAGGUAGUGACAAUAAAUCUCAAUACGAAGCCUUUGGUUUUGUAAUUGAAUUGAGAACAAUGUACAAUCGUUAUCGAUAAACAAUUGGAGGGCAAGUCUGGUGCCAGCAGCCGCGGUAAUUCCAGCUCCAAUAGCGUAUAUUAACGUUGUUGCAGUUAAAAAGCUCGUAGUUGAAGUUUAGAUAAUUUAUUGAAAGUGUUUGUAUUCGUACAUUCUACUUUUAUGUAAGUUAUCGACAUCCAGGUGGGUAUCAUAAUCUCGCAAGGGGUCGUGGUACUAGACUGGUCAUUUACUGUGAGAAAAUUAGAGUGUUUAAAGCGGACUGUUCAGUUUGAAUAGAUUAGCAUGGAAUAAUAAGAUUGGCUUUCAUAGUCGAUUUUUUGGUUUGUUUAUGAAAGCAAGAUUAAUAGGGACAGUUGGGGGUAUUCAUAUUCAAUAGCUAGAGGUGAAAUUCUAUGAUUUAUGGAAGAUGAACAAGUGCGAAAGCA
This 489-nucleotide ribosomal RNA is filed under the name Blastocystis sp. RNAcentral describes it as "SSU rRNA". It matches the Rfam family "Eukaryotic small subunit ribosomal RNA", at positions 460 to 953 of the family's 1831-position model. The record is from RNAcentral. Lineage: Eukaryota; Bigyra; Opalinata; Blastocystidae.